Long non-coding RNA from Thalassophryne amazonica, 88 nucleotides. RefSeq lists it as uncharacterized. NCBI's taxonomy places the organism in Eukaryota, Metazoa, Chordata, Actinopteri, Batrachoidiformes, Batrachoididae. The record is from RefSeq and is a predicted model, not a curated record. The transcript is spliced from 3 exons.
GCAGGAAAAAAAUUGGCAUCACUUGGGCAAAGCUGAUGUUCGUCGUGGUCAUGGAAAAUUUUCAACAUGUUUAAAAUCUUCGACGUUC